Long non-coding RNA from Panonychus citri (citrus red mite), 1754 nucleotides. RefSeq lists it as uncharacterized. Lineage: Eukaryota; Metazoa; Arthropoda; Arachnida; Trombidiformes; Tetranychidae. The record is from RefSeq and is a predicted model, not a curated record. The transcript is spliced from 4 exons.
UUUGUUUUCUUUGUCUUAAUAAUUAAAAUUUAAUUUUCUUUCUUUUUUUAACAAUUAACUUUAACUUAUUCUUUGGGAAUUAUUCAAAUAAAUUACAAUCUAAUGGUAAUUGAAGGUUUAAUCAUUUAAAACCACAAAUCGUGCCUCAGUUUUGUUUAACCCUUUGAAUUUGAAUCUAAUUAUGAGAAUUGGUCAUCAUCGGGUUACCUUAAUUAAACUCAAGCAAAGAUCCUUAGGUUAAUUACCACUUUCUUCAUAGAUUGUGUGUUGAUUAUGUGAUUACGAUGUUAACAAUUAACCUUUAACAAUCAUCUCAAUUACCUGUUGAUUUAUUUUAAUCUAAUACAAACUGACCGAUGGAUUUUGCUGGUUAAUGUCAAUCGAUUACUUUAUUUAUACUUGAAAACAAUUACAAUUAACGCCCCGAAAUCAUGUGAUUUAAAUGGAUCCAUUUGAUUUUCCUUAUCAUCGCAAACAUAAAUGGUCUGAACGUUGAAACAAUUAGAUGAACAUCCAAUUGGUAUUUUGAUCCGUAUUUACAAUUUUUCUGGUCAAUCGUUGAUCAUAAUUAUGAUUAUCUGGUCUAUUAUUAAGCUAUAAUAAUAGUAUUGAUAAUAAUACUAAAUAGUGAUGAUCGUCUUAUAUAACCAAUCAGGUCGAUCAUUUUAAAUUGUAAACCUAAACCCCUUCAGGAUCAUCAAUAUAACGAUUAUCAUUAUCAUCCCGUCAUCAAGAACAAUCAACUUUGGAGGCCUAAAAAACUCGCUGAAAGGCAAUUAAAUUAAUCUUAAUUCCUAAUUUUCGAUCAAUUUGAGAAAAUAAAAGGAAACAUGAUUUAAUUGUUAUUAAUUCAAGAGGACUUUCAAUCUCAAAUCCCUAUUUGAUCAGUUCAUUUGAUCGUAACUCUUAGCGCAAUUUAAAAUGCUCCUGAUUGUUAAAUUGUCACUAAUCAAACAAUCAUUGAGAGUAAAAAAAAAAGUUACAUAACAACAAUCAAGGUGAUAAAUUAAACAAUUAAGCUGAAAAGUGUAGAGAGAGAGAUCAAUUUAUCAGCAACAACAAUCAGUGGUUGGGGCAAUUUACUGGACUCAUCUAGAUUCUGAAUUAGUUAUUAUCAUUAUUCAACCAUUAACAAUUAAUCAACAAUUAGCAAUCAGAUAUGCUGAUAUUGACCUUGAUGGUUAAUUUUGACAAGAAAAAAAUUUACAAUAAUUUGUUGAUGUCGUGAGAAAAUUAAAACAUUUGUCUAAAUCAGUUGAUUCCCUUAAGGUGUAAAUGAUGAUAAUCAAAGAUGAGGAUCAACAAGAGUAACUGGUUUAAUCAACAAUCAGCUGAUAUCUUCUUAAUUGUCACUAAUUAAUGACUUUCUAUUGAUGCAAUAAUAUCAACCAAUUGUUAACAACAACAGAAAUCAAGUUGUCAAACCAAUAAAAACAAACCAAUCGAUAAUUUUAUAAUUAAUUAAAUUGAUUCAUUUAAUUGAGAUGUGAUCAACUUUCCAAUGAGAAAUUAACUUAAUCAUUUUUCACAACAAAUCCUCAUCAUCACUAUCAUUAAGAUCAUCCUAAUCUUAAUCAUGAUUCACACAUAAUAUGUUGAUUAUGUGAUUAACUUUUGGUUAUUAUUAAAUAAUCAAAUUGUGGGAAUGGUUGUAAUCACUUACCAAUAACUUUGGCGUUGAUCAAAGUGAUUAAAUUUAAUUGUCAACGUGAAAACCAUUUUUGUCACUCGUAAUUGUCAAUAUUGCAUGUUAA